Molecule: ribosomal RNA, 329 nt
Filed under: uncultured eukaryote
Lineage: Eukaryota
Description: partial 18S ribosomal RNA
Rfam family: Eukaryotic small subunit ribosomal RNA
Source: RNAcentral
CCCUUAGAUGUUCUGGGCCGCACGCGCGCUACACUGAUGCAUUCAACGAGUCUAAAACCUGCUCUGAUAGGGGUGGGUAAUCUUUUGAAUGUGCAUCGUGAUUGGGAUAGAUGAUUGAAAUUUUUCAUCUUCAACGAGGAAUGCCUAGUAAACGAAAGUCAUCAGCUUGCAUUGAUUACGUCCCUGCCCUUUGUACACACCGCCCGUCGCUCCUACCGAUUGAAUGAUCCGAUGAAUAUCAUGGAUUGAGGAUGCAAGUAGGUUCACCUAUCUUCAUCUUCGAGAAGUGAAGUAAAUCUUAUCAUUUAGAGGAAGGAGAAGUCGUAACA